This 654-nucleotide long non-coding RNA is filed under the name Drosophila guanche. Lineage: Eukaryota; Metazoa; Arthropoda; Insecta; Diptera; Drosophilidae. The record is from RNAcentral.
GAACGUGUGUGAAGGGCUGGGCGGAACAUUCAAUUUGCCACCCGAUUAUUCAAUUUGCACGCGACAGGCGGAACAUUUGCAUAUGAUAAUAAAAGUAAGGCGGGCCCCAAACAAAAAAUCGAUGGCCAUUCAGGAUUUACCAACCAAAUGGUGUGUAUCUUGUUUAUAUUUUGCUGCAGCUUCCGAUAUAUGGGUAUUUAUGUGUGUUUUUCGUGCUGCAUGAAUGCAUAAAUGCAACAAAAUGUGGCAGUAUUUCAAUGGAAUCCCCUGGCAACGAUAUACUUCAUUUGAUUUAUGUUCCAGUCACACUGCUAACUGGCAAUAGUAAGCAAUCAGAAAUCAACAUUCCGAUGGGAAAAGCAACUGUCGUUGAUAAUAAUAAUCGAGAGAGGCGAAGCCGUAGCGUAACCCUUUUCCCACUUCAUUUGCGUUGGUGUCUGGAACUUAAUAAAAGUUUUUGAUUGAGGUGCAAAUGGAGAGCAAUGUCGGGAUAAAUUCAGCAAUACUUUCCGCAAAUUGGCAAUGGAUUGAGGCAGGGACUAGCCCAAAUGGAGUGCUGACAGAAUUCUGAAGACCUUUGUUUGGCCCCCCCUAAGCACACACAAAAAUAAAGGAUAAAGGAAAAACCAACCAAAUGGCAUUUCAUUUUUCACG